This 32170-nucleotide long non-coding RNA is filed under the name Capsicum annuum. RNAcentral's name for it is "long non-coding RNA (CANN_LNC000783)". The record is from RNAcentral. Lineage: Eukaryota; Viridiplantae; Streptophyta; Magnoliopsida; Solanales; Solanaceae.
GGACUAAUCAUUAUUAAUGCAGAAGUAAAAUAAACUACUUACUAAAAUCCCCAAGACCCAAAACUCAUCGUACAAGAACUACUAAGAAAAAUCAUGUCUAAAGAGAUAUCCAAAAAUAAAGUAAAUAAAAAAAUAUUCCCAUUGUCCGAAAGAUAGACAACAACAAAUAAGGUGACCUAUGGCAGCCUGGAGACGGAGUGCUCACCCUUGGAUCAAGAUCUUCUAUCAAACUCUAGAGGUGAUGUCAUGUUUGAGCCUUUAAAACACUUUCUGCACACAACAAAAGAAAAGUAUAGGGUAGUAUCAAUACAAACCACUAUGUACUGGUAGGUAUCAUAGGCCAACUCAAUUUUAUAGCAUGUACACAAUAUAAAUCAGAUAACAAGUAGACAAGCAUUGUCACAUAACAAAUAUUCAAUGAAUCAACAAUAAAACAACAACAGGUCAAACAGUGCUCACAAUAAGCCACAUAAUCAUCAAAAGUAUCAACCAUAUUGUAAACAUCCAAAAAAUCAACAUAAAUACGUACACACAUGCUAUGGGACUUAUUUUUUCCCAAGUAGUCAUGACCUGUAGGGAACAAUCUAUGUUCAGGUACUGUACCGGUAUGGUACCCGAUACAACAUAUACAUAUCCGUACCGGUGUGAUACCCGAUCCAUCAUACACAUAUCCGUAGGGGCAUGGUACCUGAUCCAACAUAUACAUAUCCAUACCGACAUAGUACCCGAUCCAACAUAUAAAUAUCCAAACCAAAGUGGUACUUGAUUCAACAUACAAAUAUCCAUACCGGUGUGGUACCCGAUCCAACAUAUAAAUAUCCAAACCCACGUGGAACCCGAUCCAACAUACAAAUAUCCGUACCGGCAUGGUACCUGAUCCAACAUAUAAAUAUCUGUACCAGCGUGGUACCCGAUCCAACAUAUAAACAUCUGUACCGAUGUGGUACCCGAUCCAACAUACAACACAAUGUACUAAGUUCACAAGUACACUAAGGUCAUAAGACAAUUUCAUUAAGUAAAUUUUCAAUAAUCAUUUAUAAAUGCAUCAAUAGUCCAAACAACAACGAUUUCAAGCAUAUCCAAAUGCCAAUCAACAAGUAUCUAGUUUAGGAGCAUACACACAAUUAAGUCGAGUCUAAACUCCAAUUAAACCAUAACCUACCUCAACCAACGAAUACAAAAGUAGUUAGUCUGCAAGCGCCUAACCCUUUCUCUUAGUUUUGGAACGUUCAAAAUCUGUUCCAUACUCUCCAUAAAAAUAGGAAUCUAAUAACACCCAUUUUAUAAAUUCUUACUCUAAAAAUCUAGGCCGUUAACCUAAUUUAUCCAUGGUCAUAUAACAUAAUGGAGGUUAAAGUUAUCAGUAACCAUUGUCUCACUUUAAUCGAUGUAAUAUUCUCUUAACCAACACUUUACACGAAAACAUAAAAGUGUUGAAAGAAGUUAAGAACACAUAACCCAAAUUAAAGGUUUUCUGCCUAAACUUGGACCACGUGCAUAUUCUACCUAAACAUAAAACACAAUAUGAUGACAAUAUUAUUCCCUACUAAUCAUUACACUAUUAUUGAACUCCUUAACUCCUUUUUCUAUUUUUGUUCAACACUAAAGGCACCAACCCUCAAUUUUACAAACAAAAAUAUUAAGAAUACAUCUACUCAAAGUGGCUUACCAAACUGUCCAGAUCUUCUUCAACACUGCGAUGGAGAGAAAAAAAUUACAAUGCUCUUUCGUGCCUUUUCUUCCUAAUAUCUGAUGAUAUUAAUAUUAUAAAUGGUUAACCCUAACCACUUAAUAUCAUCCUUAUAUUAACCACGUAAGUAAAUAAAUUAUUAUUUUGACCCACUAAUUUAUUAAUUAAAUAAUUUUUAAAAUACUUAAAACUUUCAAAUACCAUAAGAAUUGGUACUACUCAAUGGGUGAGUCAUAAUUCACAUACACUAACUACAGGGAGAGCUAGAAUAGGAAAGAUAAAAAGAUUUUACAAGCUUUUGGGAGGUUUGUUACAUCGGAUUACCGCUAGCCCUUAGAACCGUGUAGAUUAUUGCUAGCCCUUAGAUCCUGCAAUUACCGCCAGCCCUCAAAUCAUGUAGUCUGGUAUCAGAGCCAUUCUAGACUACUUAUUUGUCUGGUAAUAUCAGAUCUAUUAUUUGUAUUACCAGGGCUGGCGGUAAUCUGCACGGCCAUCCAGACCUAUAAGUCAAUAUCAGAAAACCAAACUACAUAUAAAAGAAUUUUUCUAUAGUUUCUUGGCUUGGUUUCGGGAUGGGGGUACAGUCGAAGUUAGUACUGCUUUUGUUGGCUUUGUCUUAGUGACUACGUCUAGUUAGCCGUGACUUUUAAGCCUGUUAAAGAUGAGAAAAGGGGUGCCUCUUUUCACAGUUAGAAUAUCUAGACACAUGGGCUUAACUAAUGUACGUAUUAACUUCUAACAGGCCCUUGCUCAAGUAAAAAGAUUCAAUCUUUCAUACAGUCAAUAAGCUAUAUGAAAUUCUUCUAUAUUUCGGUUGGUUUUUUGAUAUUAACUUAUAGGUCUGGAUGGCCGUGCAGAUUACUACCAGCCAUCAGAUCCUGCAGUCUGGUAUCAGAGCCUAGGAACUUUCAUGGUUAUUAUGUAAUAGAUUUGAACUUUUCAGCAUAGAUAUGAACUUUCUACUCUUGGAAAUGAGAGAUGUGAAUACUAAGAGUACUCGACUUGAAGAGGUAGAUAAACCUCAAAACAUUGACUUGUUAAAGAAGUGGACUAUUCCAAAGGUUGAUAUUAAAACCAUUUAUGAUUAUGGUUGGUUUGAUAAGGUUCUUUCUAAACAAAUAAUAAAGACGACUGAACAAUCUUUGGCAUUAAAUUCGUCCGAACAGAUGAUUCGAUUAUUAAAUUAAUGCGAUAUUGAUUUAUAUAAAAAUCAUUAUAACUUUAUGCAUAUUGGAAUGGUUCAGAUUGCUUUUAAACCAUUAACUCUUAAAGGGUUACCUAAAACAUUUUUAGCAGCUCUUAGGGAUGCUAGAAAUCUAAAUUUUAGACAAUCUUUAAUGGGUACUAUUGAAUCCACCGUGGCCUAUGGUUCAGUUUAUUUAAAUACUCAGCCAAAUUUACGAUUAGCUUUAACUGAUGCGAAUAUACUUGAUGCUUUGAUAUUAAAUGUGAAAAUGUAUGGUUAUAAUUAUGUGCCUGGAUCUAAACUGAUUUUUCUAUGAUACAAAAUUUAUUAUAGAUUAUUAACUACUUUAAAUCCUCGAUGUAGGUUAUACGAUACAUCAGAUCAGACUACAUUAGUCGAAACUAAUUUUCCAAAAUCUAAGGUCACCAUAAGGAGACCUAUUAAAUGGGAUGAGAUUGAUUUUCCUACUACAUGGACCUUAAACUUAGUUAUACCUCCGAAUCAAGUCACUGAUGAUUUAACUAAUAGUGAAUUAUCGCAGGUGAUUUAAAAUCUGGAUGGUAGGAUUUGUAUUCAAUUUGAUGCAAGCUCUGCUGUUUAUAACAAACAUUCAUUGUCCAUGCCUAAAUUAUUGCCUGCUAUGCAUCAUAUUUCUCCUAUAGAACCGUUAAACGGUCCAUCUAGAAGUCGUACAGUUUCCUUGCACAUAAUUGACUCAACUUCUACAAGAUUUGUAGAGAAAGUCAAAGUCAAUCCACAAACAAAUAUUGUCAAGAUAAUGGCAAUAUCUCAAAUAGAGAUAUUCCUACUACUUCUGAAAUGAACUUUGAUCCAAAUGAUAUUUAAUGAUUCCACACCAAAUUAAUUUUAGAUGUGUAUCCCAGGCAAGAAAUUAUAGUAAAAAAGAAUUUUUUAAUAAAAAAUAAAACUAGUUUAGAACUUGGUUUUUUGAGACUUAUAGUCCUGAAGAUAUGAAUAAUAUUUCUCAAGAAUUUUAUGAAACUUGUGCAUUGCAUAAUCAAAUUAUGUGGUUUGUACCUUGGUUUAUAACCACCUAUUUGCCAUUAUAUGUUAAGGUGCUUGAAAGAUCAUAUCAAGAUAAUAGUGGUAUCAUUGUUAAAACUGUUUACCCUCUCCAAGAUCCUUUUAUAUUGCCAAAUAAUACGGGUAUUACAUUUUCUGCAUUUCAAAAAUUCAUUGAUUAUGAAGUUGCUAAGGUAACUAUUGCAGAAAUUAAUAAUUUGAUUUCUAGAAAUAAUUAUUUGAGAUUAUAUGUGAAAGUUUUAAGAGAACAUAUUUCCUCUUUUGCUAAGAAACUCGAUGAGUUAAUUGAUUUGAUAAAGAAGCUCAGUAAUAGCCCAAAUUCUACUGAUAUUGCUUCUUCUUCCGAAAGUAAGAUAGGAGAUUUUACGACUAAAACCGAUAUUCAACGACCCCCUGAUAUUGAGGGAUUUAAAUUUAAGUCACCUUUAUAUGAUUUAGAAUAGCUUCUUGAUAAAAAGCUUUCUGGUCUAAAUAUUAGACCCAUUGAUUUGUCUAAUGCCUUUACUGAUUGUCUAGAAACCACUCCUAAUUUGAAAAAUUAGACUAAAUCAGAGUUUAAUAAGAUCAUAGGAAUAAUUAGAAAGCAACCGGGUAAAAAUCCCAGAUAUGCAGAUUCACCCCGCAUGCAAACUUAUUACUAUCCGCGACCAACUCCUUAAAAUGUUCUGAUCGAGGAAAGGGAUUGGAAUCAAACUAAUAUGUCCUAUAACAGAGAUGAUAUUUAUGAAUGGAAUCCUGAUGGAUUAAUAGAGAGGCAAUUAACAAUCCUCGUACACCACAUGAUGAUGUAUUCAACGGUGUGUAAAGCCACUGGUAAUACAAAUAAUAGAAUAGAUAAAAUUAUCUGUUAAAUGUUAGUUGCUGGUUUUACUGGCCAACUUCGUGGCUAGUGGGACAAUUAUUUGACUCAAGAGAAAAUAAUGUUAAUUUUUAAUGCUAUAGCUACUACUUAAGGGACUGAUAAUUUUGAAAGAACCCUUCCUACAAAGAGAGAAGAUGUUGUUUAUACGUUUGUUCUUACAAUUUUAAAACACGUUAAUGGUAGAUUUACCAACCAGAACAAAAAUAUUCAUAUUCUCUUAAAUUGGCUUAGAUGUAAGACCCUAGAAGAAUUUAGGUGGUACAAAGAUACCUUUUUAAGUAGGGUUAUGGAAUUGCCCGAAAAUAGUUAUGAACAUUAGAAGACCAAGUUUAUAGAUGGACUUCCUUCGAUGUUUGCUGAAAGAGUUAGAAAAGCUCUUAGAGGCUUCUAUGGUGAAAUUCCUGGGGGAAAUUAUACUUAUGAUUAUUUGAUAGUAGCUUGUACACAAGAAGGGUUAAACCUGUGUAAUGAGUUAAAAUUGACUAGACAAAUUAAGCUUGAUAAGCUUCGAGAAAAAUAUCAGAUAGCAGAUUUCUGUACCCAGUUUGGUAUAUUUGAACCUGCUUCCACUUCUAGGAAGAAAGGAAAUAGAUAUCCCAAAAAUCAACAGCCUUAUAGAAAAAAGAGAUCUAGAUAUAUAUCUAAAUAAGAACGUGAAACUAGAAAAACCUAUAGAAAAUCUACUAGAUUUGCCAAAAACAGAUCUAAGUGAGAUCUUGCUAAGAUUAAAUGUUAUAGAUGUGGUAAUUUUGGGAAUAUUGCUCCAAAUUAUAAGCUCCAAAAGCUUAAAUCUUUAGGUCUUGCUGAUGAUGUGCAUGAUAAAGUUUAUGGUUUAUUAUACACCUCAGGUUUAGAAUCUGACUAUAGUACUGAAUCUAAAUCAGAAAAUGAUAUUGAAUUGCCUGAUUCAUCGGAUAAUGAUAAUGUUAAAAUUGUUCUGAUUUCCAAGGUGAUACCUGCACUUGUGAUGAAGCAUUUUAUAAUUUGCAAUCCCAGUUUGAAGAUUUAAAUGUUCAAAUCAUUACUUCUGAAAAUGUGUUAGAACUAUUGAAAGAAGUUUCAGAUUAGAAACUCCAUGAAAAGAUUAUUAAUUUGUCUACUAGUUCAAAAUCCAGUACUUCUAAACAUACUAAUAGCAAUACCUUUACUCCUAAAAUUACUGAUAGCAAUAAUUUUAUGCCUUAGUCUUUAACAGAAGUUAAUAGACGACUUGCUAUGAGUUAUACUCCUGGCAAAGAUACUUUUUUUGAUGAUUUAAAAAUUGAAGUUAAAAACUUGAAAAAAGGAGAUUAAAUCGCUUAAACAAAAUCAAAUGAUUUGUGAUCACAGAAUCUUGCAAAUCGGGAAAGAUAUUUCUCACACUGAAAAUUCUAAAGGGAAAGAAAAGAUUUCUGAAGAAAAUGAUAAUAUUGAUGAUAUUCAAAAUUCCCUUGACUUGAAAAAUGAUUAUUUUUUAGGUAUGAGGCAAAUUGUUACUGCCCAUAAAUGGUAUAUUAAAUGUACUAUUUUGAUUAAUAAUCAUUUCUCUGUCACUAAUAUUGCUAUGAUUGAUAGUGGCGCAGAUGUUAGUUACAUACAAGAAGGAUUAAUUCCCACAAGAUAUUUUCAAAAAACUACUCAUAUAGGUAAAUCGACAUCUGGACAUGCUCUUGAUGUAGAGUAUAAAUUGCCUAAUACUCAUAUUUUCCAAGAUAAAAUGUGCAUUCCACAUUUUUUUUUGGUAAAAAAUCAGUUAUACCCUCCAAUUAUACUUGGAACUCCUUUUAUAAAUGUUGUUUAUCCUUAUACUCAUAUUGAUGUGAAAGGAUUUACUACUACUUACAAAAAUAAAGAGAUAUCUUAUUCUUUUGUUACAGAUCUGGUAACUAGGGAUAUAAAUGCUUUGAUUGAUAUGAAGCAAAGAGAUGUUGAUUUUUUAUAGCUUGAAUUACUUAGCAUGAAUAUUUGUGAUACAAUGAAAUCUUAUAAGGUACAGGAAAAAGUUAAAUUAAUUUCUGAACAAAUGGCUGUUGAUAUUUGUGUUGAUCACCCCAGUGCUUUUUGGAAUCGUAAAAGGCAUAUUAUUACUCUUCCUUAUGAUGAUAAUUUUUAUGAGGAUAAUAUCCCAACAAAAUCGCGACCUUGUCAAAUGAAUGUUGAAUUAGUUGAAUUCUGCAAAAAAGAGAUUGAUAUUCUAUUACAAAAGGGUUUGAUAAAACCUUUAAAAUCUCCUUGGUCAUGUACUAUUUUUUAUGUUAAUAACACAGCUAAAAAGAAACGUGGUGUUCCCAGGUUGGUAAUAAAUUACAAACGUCUGAAUAAAUAUUUAAAAUGGAUUAGGUAUCCGAUUCAAAAUAAAAAAAAAUUAUUAUCCUGGUUAUACGAUUCCAAUAUAUUUUCUAAAUUUGAUUUAAAAUCUAGAUAUUAGCAAAUUCAGAUUUUCAAAGAGCAUACUUAUAGAACAACUUUUAAUGUUCCUUUUGGACAAUAUGAAUGGAAUGUCACGCCUUUUGGUUUAAAAAAUGCCCCAUCAAAAUUUUGGGAAAUAAUGAAUGAUAUAUUUAAUCCUUAUAUGGAUUUCAUCAUCGUUUAUAUUGAUGACAAUCUUGUGUUUUCUAAAACAUUUGAAUUACAUAUCAAGCAUCUUGAUAUUUUUAAGAAAAUUGUGAUACAAAAUGGUUUGGUGAUAUCUAAAUCAAAAAUGAGUUUAUUUCAAACAAAUGUUAGAUUAUUAGGACAUAAUAUUCCUCAAGGGAAGAUUACUCCCAUCCAAAGAUCCAUUGAUUUUGCUUCUAAAUUUCCUGAUGUUAUAACUGACAGGACUCAAUUGCAGAGAUUAUUACGAAGCCUGAAUUAUAUUUCUCCCUUUUAUGAGAAUUUAUCUCGCGAUUUAGCCCCAUUAUACAAUAGGCUAAAAAAAGAAUAUAAAGGCUCUUGUACCAAUAAUCUCACCAAUCUUGUUAAAUGUAUUAAACAGGGUGUUGAAUCUUUACCUUGUUUAACUUUAGUCAAUCUUGCUUGACAAAAAAUUAUUGAAACUGAUGCAUUGAAUAUUGGUUACGGAGGAAUACUGAAACAAGUUAACCCCCAUGAUAAAACUAAAUGCUUAAUAAGAUUUAAUUUAGGUAAAUGAACUGAUAGUUAGAAAAAAUAUGCUACGGUAGCUCAUUAAAUGCUAACCAUUGUUAAAUGUGUUCUGAAAUUUCAGGAUGAUUUUUUUAAUCAAAAGUUUUUGAUAAAAACUGAUGCUCAAUUUGUAAAAUAUAUGUUUGAUAAAGAUUUUAAACAUGAUGCUUUAAAAUUAAUAUUUGUAAGGUGGCAAGCUCAGUUAGCCCCUUUUGAUUUUGAAAUUCAAUAUAAAAAAGGAAUUGAUAAUUCUCUCCCUGAUUUCUUAUCUAGGGAAUAUCUAAAUUAAAAAUGAAUUUUUAUACAUCUUUUCUUCCUAAAAAAAACUUUGAUCACCAUUUUAAAGGUAAUUCCGUUAUACAGAGACAUUCAAAAUCUCAUAAUUGAUAAAAUCAUCCAUGAUAUGAUUGAAGAGUAAUUUCCUGUCUUCAAUUAUGAAGAAAUUAGAGAUAUUGAUUGGUAUGAUUUGGAAAUAUCUGAUUACUUAUCCUCUUUGAAGUAUGGCUACUGACCCACCAUGGCAAAUAGCCAUAGAAAAAGGACAAGGUAGAUCAGGAGGAAGAUCAGCUUUCAGAGGAAGGGAAAGAUCAUCCCCAAUAAUCAGAUCAUAUUCAAGAUCUCAUAUGGAUCCUCUUCCAAUUCCCCAGUUAUACAAAUGGGAAAUAGGAGUUUGAUAAACUCCAAAGUACCGAAAAUAGGCGAAUAUUCAACAUCACAAUCAAUUCAUCUGGAUGAUAUUCCAAAAGACAGCCCGUUAUACAAGCAAUUACAAGCCUAUCUGGCAGCACAAAAGAGUGAUACGUUUGCUUUGAUUGCAAAGAAAAAGGACAAUGAUGAUAUCAAUUCCUAUGAACAAAUUAAAAAUAAAGAAACGAUAUUUUUUGUCGAAAACUUUGAGAUUCAGAGGCAAAAUAGACCGUGGGAGAUACUCCACAAAUAUUUGAUAAAUAAUUAAUAUUUUUUGGGUAAGUAAUACAAAAUCCACACUUAUUAUGAAACGAUUCUCAUUAUUACAUGGAGUACAGAAUUUGAACAUUUCUCUGGGUACAACAGUGAAGAGAACGUUUAUAACUUCUCUAAAAUUAUUAUUAAAUGGAUCAUAUCCAUAGAAGAUUGGGGAGUGACCUCAAUGACUGAGAAGCAGAUAUUGCUUAAAGGUUCCAAGAUCAAUUUCACUUACUGGGACUACAUUGAAGUUUUCUCUAAAGCUCUUUAUUAUAAUAACGACAUACAUAAGCAUACUUGGUUUAUAAAAAUAUGUGCAAAGAUAUUUGUAGAACCUAUCCCUAACUGGUUUAUAGAUUGGUGGUCUUAGCAUGGUCUGACCGUCCAGAUAUUGCCUGAUCCAUUCCUCAAGUUAUACAAAGAAUGGACCAAAGUAUCCCCGCAUUUAAAUGAAUUAUAUCAUGCAGAUCAUAUUUGUAAUUUAGAUAAAAUUGACCAAAUGUACUUCAUUAUUGAAUUUUCUAUUCCCUGGAUUCAUAAAUGGACUCUAGAACUAGGAUUCACUAAAGAACAAAUCCCUUGCUUAUAUAGGGUAUUUUAUAAUAAUUUUUGGGAAAAACUGAUGCGCAAGGAUCCCAAAACAAAAAUAUUGUAUGGACAAGAACUCUUAGAUACUAUUAAAAAGAUGAUUUAGGAAUAUUCUAUAGCCCCUCGAAAAGAUAUUAUCAAGUUUAAAUCAUUAAAGCAUAUUGCUAGAAGAAUCUCUGUCCAUGAAGGAGAUAGGAUCGAGAUAAUUGAAAAAUAUUUGGAAGAAGUUCAAAGAAAUUUGAUGAAAUCAGUUGAUAAUCAUAAUAAGUCAGAUACUUCCAUGAUGAGUAUAACCGGCGAUGAUAUCGCCGAUGAAGAAGUUCAGGAUUCUCAGCCUGUUUCUUUAGAUAAACGGCUAUCUAACGAAGCCAUUGCAAGAAAUGAAGAAUUUCUUAGAAAAUUAAAAGGAAAAAAUAAAGUGUAAUACACACAGUAUAUUUACUGUGCACGGGACCCGGAUAUGGGACCCUUAGUACUAUUCCUAUACAAUAGAUCCACUGUACAUAGGAUCCGAAUGUGGGACCAAUAAUACUAUUUGUAGAUACCUUUUUCUUCCUAUAAAUAGAUGCCUUCAUUUGUUAGGGAAGGUAGAAAAUUUUCAUCUUUUUAUCUUCUCUUUUUCAUUUCUCUCUCUAGCUUAGAGUGCUCUCUCUUCUCUAUUGUAAAAUAAUCUCAAGUGUGGAAUAAAACGUGUUGUUAUUACUAUUCUAGCCUUGCAUCCAGAUAUUAAAGGUAUUUUAUUUUAUUUGUAAUUAUUUACUCGCGCUCUCUUUGCGGCCGUGACUAUAUCUAGCUAGAUAAUUUUCAUAUCUAUGCUGGAGAUCUAAUUUCUUUUGUAUAAUAACCAUGAAAGAUCUAGACUCUAUCAAAAUAUAAAAGAAUUUUUCUAUAGUUUCUUGGAUUGGAUCCGAGAUGGUGGUACAGUCGAAGUUAGUACUGCUUUUGUUGGAUUUAUCUUAGUGACUACAUCUAGCAAGCCGUUACUUUUAAGCUCGUUAAAGAUGAGAAAGGGGCGCCUCUUUUCACGGUUAGAAUCGCUAAACACAUGGGCUCAACUAAAGUACAUAUUAACUUCUGCCAGGCCCCUUGCUCGGGUAAAAAGAUUCAAUCUUCCAUACAGUUAAUAAGUUACAUGAAAUUCUUCUAUACUUCGGUUGGUUUUCCGAUAUUAACUUAUAGGUCUGGAUGGCCGUACAGAUUACUACCAGCCCUCAGAUCUGUGGGGAUUACCGCUAGCCCUCUGAUCCUGUAAUUGCCGCUAGCCCUCAGAUCUUGUAGUCUGGUAUCAGAGCCAUUCUAGACUGCUUAUUUUUCUGGUAAUAUCAGAUCUAUUAUUUGUAUUACCAGGGCUAGCGGUAAUCCGCACGGCCAUCCAGACCUAUAAGUUAAUAUCAAAAAAACAACCAAAAUAUAAAAAAAAAAUUUAAAAUAGUUUCUUGGCUUAGUUCUGAGAUGAUGGUACAGUCGAAGUUAGUACUGCUUUUGUUGGCUUUGACUUAGUGACUACAUCUAGCAAGACGUGACUUUUAAGCCCAUUAAAGAUAAGAAAAUGGGUGUCUUUUUUCAUAGUUUGAAUCGCUAGAUACAUGGUCUAAACUAAAGUACGUAUUAACCUCUGACAGGCCCCUUGCUCGAGUAAAAAGAUUCAAUCUUCCAUACAGUCAAUAAGCUAUAAGAAAUUCUUUUAUAUUUUAGUUGGUUUUUCGAUAUUAACUUAUACAUCUGGAUGGCAGUACAGAUUACCGCCAGCCUUCAGAUCCUAUAAUUUGGUAUCAGAGCCUUGGAACUUUCGUGGUUAUUAAGUAAUUGAUCUGAACUUUACUGCAUAGAUAUGAAUUUUCUACUCAUGAAAAUGGGAGAUGUGAGUACUAAGAGUACUCAGCUUGAAGAGGUAGAUAUACCUCAAAACCUUGACUUGUUAAACAAGUGGGCUAUUCCAAAGGUUGAUAUUAAAAUCAUUUAUGAUUAUGGUUGGUUUGAUAAAGUUCUUUCUAAAAAAAUAAUAAAGAUGACUGAACAGUCUUUGGCAUUAAAUUCAUUCAAACAGAUGAUUCGAUUAUUAAAUAAACAUGAUAUUGAUUCAUAUAAAAUUAUUAUAACUUUAUGCAUAUUGGAAUUGUUUAUAUUGCUUUUAAACCAUUAACUCUUAAAGGGUUACCUGAGGCAUUUUUAGCAGCUCUUAGGGAUGCUAGAAAUCUGAAUUUUAGACACUCUUUAAUGGGUACGAUUGAAUUCACCGUGGGCUACGGUCCAAUUUAUUUUAAUACUCAGCCAAAUUUACAAUUAGCUUUGAUUGAUGCGAAUAGACUUAAUGCUUUGACAUUAAAUGUGAAAAUGCAUAGUUAUAAUUAUGUGCCUGGAUCUGAACUUAUUUAUCUUUCAUACAGAAUUUACUAUAGAUUAUUAACUACUUUGAAUCCUUGAUAUAGGUUAUAUGAUACAUCAGAUCAGACUAUAUUAGUCGAAACUAAUUUUACAAAAUCUAAGGUCAUCACAAGGAGACCUAUUAAAUGGGAUGAGAUUGAUUUUCUCACUACAUGGACCUUAAACUCAGUUAUAUCUCUGAAUCAAGUCGCUGAUGAUUUAACUAAUAGUGAAUUAUCUCAUGUGACUCAAAAUUCGGAUGGUAGGAUUUGUAUUCAAUUUGAUGCAAGCUCUACUGUUUAUAACAAACAUUCAUUGUCCAUGCCUAAAUUAUUGCCUGCUACGCAUCAUAUUUCUCCUAUAGAACCGUUAAACGGUCCAUCUAGAAGUCGUGCAGUUUCCUUGCACAUAAUUGACUCAACUUAUACAAGAUUUGUAGAGAAAGUCAAAGUCAAUCCGCGAACAAAUAUUGUUCAAGAUAAUGACAAUAUCUCUAAUAGAGAUAUUCCUACUACUUCUGAAAUGAACUUUGGUCCAAAUGAUAUUUAAUGAUUUCACACCAUUAAUUUUAGUUCUGGAUCCCAGGCAAGAAUUAUAUUAAAAAGAAUUUUUUAAUACAAAAUGGAACCAAUUUAGAACUUGUUUUUUUUAGAUUUAUAGUUUUGAAGAGAUGAAUAAUAUUUCUCAAGAAUUUUAUGAAAAUUGUGCAUUGCAUAAUCAAAUUAUGUGUUUUGUACCUUGGUUUAUAACCACCUAUUUGCCACUAUAUGUUAAGGUGCUUGAAAUAUCAUACCUAGAUAAUAGAGGAAACAUUGUUAAAACUAUUUACCCACCCCAAGUGUAAUGCCCUCUUCCAGUCUGAGCCUUACAGCGUAUUUGGUAAAGUAAAAAUCUGAGUCAAAAUGUUUCAAAAAUAUCCUCCCAAGUAUGAAAUACUUUGAAUUGUGUGGGAAUCUAUUUGACCAUGAAUUAAGAUCAUAGAGGUCCCCUAACUCAUGGACGAGUUGAAAGCUUUCCUAUCGUUCAAGUUUUAGUGACCGUCAAAAUUUAGGUCAAAUUCAAUCGAUCAUAACUCCUUGUAUAUAUUUAAUUAGAGGACCUACUAUAUAUCAAAUGAAAUAUCUUUGAAUUAUCUUUCCAACGAUAUCAAUUUCAUCAAAAACCAAUAUCAGAGCAAAUAGUUAUGCAUAUUUUACUCCAGCAUGUCAGUAUGAAAAAUUGUGACGAUAUUUUGUGACGGCCCAUCACAGAUCUGAUGGCUUGUCACAAAAGGACGUCACAAUUAGGCAGAAAUUCAUAAAAUUCACUCUUUUGUGAUAACAUUUUGUGAUGGCCUGUCACAGGUUUGACGGACUGUGACAAAUGUCGUCAGCCAUUUUUUUUAGCAAUUUAGAGACGUUUUUGCAAGGGUAUUUUGGUCAUUUUCCACCUUUUGGAAUCCUCUAUAAAUAUGAGAACCCUCAUUCAAACCCUAAUUUCUCCAUUUCUCUUCCAAUUCUCUAAAGAAAAAAUAUCUAGGGUUUCAUUCAAGAACCCUAACCUUCCAAAAAUUCAUCCAUAAAUCUUCAAGAUUUCUUUAAGAAUUAAGUUCCUCAUAGUGUGGACUUCGAGAAUCAUCCAAUUUCAAAGAUUAAGGUAUGUAGAUGUUGAUUCUUGGGUCCCUUUCAUCUAAGAAGCUUAAGAACUCUUUUUAAAACUAAAAGAUUUUUAUGUUUAUGAGUUGUUAAUGAUUUGUAUGAGUUGAAAUUGAUGUUUAAUGUGUUGUUGAGUUUUGAUUUAUCUUUUCCUACAAAAAUUAUGAGCUUUGACCCUAGUAUGUGGAAUGUAUGUGAUCUUUGUGAUAGACCCUCUUAAAGUUGUUUUCUAUGUGAUGUGUUCAUGACUUUUGAGUGUAGAAAUGGUUGAAUAAGUGAAGCAUGUCCCCCAUAGGUUUGAUAAAGAGCUUAGGAGAAGCAUAAGGGCCAUUACAGUAUGUUGAAUAGGAAGCCCCAAAUUUUGAGCUAGUUCAUGCAUGCCUAGUGUUUGAUAAAAUGCCUUAGUGAGUGAUAUGUGCCAAGAUAGCAUGAAAUCCCCAUGUAGGUGUAAAAUCGGUCAUGUCUAGUGGUUGUUGAAAGGCCCUGGUGAACAACUCGAGAUAUGAUGGUUGUAAAUUCCCCAAUUAUGUGCUCUUUGAUAUAUGCUAAAUUUUUAAUACAUGUCAAGUGGUUAGCAAGUAAGUUGUGACAUGAUAGUAUGAAGUUUCCCCAAGCCAUAUGAUAUCCAAACAGGUGUCAAGAUUGAUAUAGGUAUGAAAUAGUUGAGGUAAAACUUUGUUGAAUGGAGUACGAUCUAGUAGCAUGUUUCCCCUAUGUUGUUUUAUGAUAUGAUUCCUAAUUACUUGAAGAUUCUUUAAUGAUCUUGAAGAUACAUGAAUGAUUGUGAUGACAUAUGAAUGAAUGUGAUGAUGAAUAAAUGAUUAUGCUUUACUUUUAUGUCAUCGAGUCCUGGGGGUAUUUAUACUCGACAAUAGAGCUAUUGUUUAGAGCCUGUGUCAGUUUCUCGAUAAUUUCAGUCGAGCCAUGAUUCUCAGAACUCAGUGAACUAUAGAACUCUGUAUCCUCAUACAAGUGCGUAACUUAAGUAAACUCAGUAAUCUCUGUUAUCUCUGUAAUCUCUGUAUCACUAGUAAUCUAGCCUCAGUCCUGUAAUCAGCUCAGUUCUAAUAUUAUUCAAGUGAUUCAAUUUUAAUCUCAAAAGUGAUUUGAGUAAUCUAUUUAAGCUCUAUAUCGUCAGUCAGAUACCAUGAUUCGAUACCUUUCCCGUCAGAUACAGAACUAAGUAAUCUCAGAGUAACUCAGUUAGAUCUUUUGAGAAACAUGAUCAGUAUCAAAUUUAGCUCAGUCUAAGUUCAGUUAAGUAUCAGAUCAGUGUCUUUCAGUUGGGAGUAAGACUUAGCACCGAGUGAUCUCAAGGAUGGGAACUCACCUACUAGUAGAGGGUGUGAUUCUUAGAAGCAAUCCUUACACUCCAGAACUACGUAGCCAGCAUAGGUUGAGACAUCAUACCUGCUAGUUAAGGGUAGAUGAGGUGACUUGACCUAUUAGAUGAGGGCUCCACCAUUCUCAUUUGAGUACCUGAUAGAUGAGGGUCACAUAAAGAUAAUGUCUUUACCCGUGGUACGGUAUUGGCACCCUUCCAGCCGGGGGUAGAGCCUGGACCCCUAAGAGAUAGUAGGGGCAUAUUGGGUAGAUUACUACUUCCCACAGUUUCAGUUUCAGAUUCAGUUUCAGUUUCAAAAUCAAUUUUCAGAAAUCAGGACUGUCAGAUACAGUCAUCUAUCUUUAUGAGGAACUCAGAUAGUUCCAUUGAUCCAUGGACCAUCCCGUCAGAUAGGCUUGGUCUCAUAUAUAGUUGUUUGAUAGCAUAUUCAGAGAUAUGCCUCCAGACAGGCUUGAUCAUAGUAUCAGAUUUUUAUUGAAUAUUCUUGUUGUCAGAUUAAGAUAUAAUCAUAUUUCUUGUCAUUGAUAAAGCUUCUAAAGUCAUCUAUUAGAAAAGUUGAUCUCUAAUUCUGUCAUUCGAAAGUAGUAAGCUCAGAAUUCAAUCCUUGAUGUAAGUACAUCCAGAUCCUCAGUUAUCAGUAUCAGAUGAGUCAGUGAUUUAGUAUCUCAGUGUCAGCAGCGAGUUUAGUCCGCAGUAAAGUAGUAUCCGAGUUUCAGUAUCUAGAGUUGCGAUGAUUGUGUUCAUGGUCUGUGCAUUCAUGUAUGUGUUCUCAUGCGGCAUCUUUCAUGAUUAUUUCAAUUUAGAUACUGUACAUGCAUGGGCCCUUGCACUAGCCUACCCCGUCUACAUACUCAAUACAUUCCUGUACUGACGCAUUUGCGCUAUGGUAUUUUAUUUGACACCAUAGGUUCAAAGGCAUAGGAUCCAGAUUAUCCUCAGCAGUUUAGUCCCAAUCAGCAGCAGUAGUAGUGACUUCUCUUCUUUCGAGGAUGAAUCUCAGUUUACUAUUAUUAUUUUAGACUUUAUUUAUUUUUAGUUGACGGAGUUAGUUGGAGACCUAUCCCAUCAACUCCUCAGUUCAGAUAGUUUAGAGGAUUUUCAGACGAAUGUAUUAAUAUUCAAUUUUCAGUAUUAUGAGUAUUCAUAGAUGUGUUGAACCUUAUGGCUAGUUUCUGUAUUUAUUUCUGAUAUUAUGCAGUGUACAAGUACAGAUAUCAGUAAAGGGUUAGCUUGUGGUCCUUUGGGGUCAUAAGCACCGCGUGGCAUCUCGGGAUGGGAUCUCGGGGCAUUACACUAAGCUCCUUUUAUAUUGCCAAAUAAUAUGGGUAUUACAUUUUUUGCAGUUCAAAAAUUCAUUGAUAAUGAAGUUGCUAAGGUAACUAUUGCAGAAAUUAAUAAUUUGAUUUCUAAAAAUAAUUAUAUGAGCUUAUAUAUGAAAGUUUUAGGAGAACAUAUUUCCUCUCUUGAUAAUAAACUUGAUGAUUUAAUUGAUUUGAUAAAGAAACUGAGUAUCUACUAAUAUUAUUUCUUCUUUCGAAAGCAAGAUAGGAGAUUUGACGACUAAAAUCAGUAUUCAACGACCCCCUAAUAUUGAGGGAUUUAAAAUUCACUUUUUUAUGAUUUAGAACAACUUCUUGAUAAAAAGCUUUUCUGGUAUAAAUGUUAGACCCAUUGAUUUGUCUAAUGCCUUUGUUGAUAGUCUAGAAACCACUCUUGAUUUAAAAAAUUAGACUAAAUCUGAGUUUAAUAAGCUCAGAAGAAUAACUAGAAAGCAGUUGGGUAAAAAUCUCAGAUAUGCAGAUUCACCCUGUAUACAAACUUAUUACUAUCCGCGACCCACUUCUCAAGAAGUUCUGAUAGAGGAAAGGGACUGGAAUCAGACUAAUACGUCCUAUAGAGGAGAUGAUAUUUAUGAAUAGAAUCUUGAUAGCUUAACAGAGAGGCAAUUAACAAUCCUCGUACACCGCAUGAUGAUGUAUUCAAAGGUGUGUAAAGACGGUGGUAAUACAAAUAAUAGAACAGAUAAAGUUAUCUAUAAAAUGAUAGUUGCUGGUUUUACUGGCCAACUUCAUGGCUGAUGGGACAAUUAUUUGACUCAAGAGAAAAAAAAGUCAAUUUUUAAUGCUAUAGCUACUACUCAAGGGACUGAUAAUUUAGGAAGAACCCUCCCUACAAAUAGGGAAGAUGUUAUUUAUACGCUUGUUCUUACAAUUUUAGAACACUUUAAUGGUAGAUUUAUCAACAAGUACGAAAAUAUUCGUACUCUCUUAAAUGGGCUUAGAUGUAAGACCCUAGGAGAAUUUAGGUGUUACAAAGAUAUAUUUUUAAGUAGGGUUAUGGAAUUACCCGAAAAUAGUUAUGAACAUUGAAAGGCCAAGUUUAUAGAUGGACUUCCUUCAUUGUUUGCUGAAAAAGUUAGAAAAUCUCUUAGAGGCUCCUAUGGUGAAAUUCCUUGGGGAAAUUAUAUCUAUGGUCAUUUGAUAUCAGCUUGUACACAAUAAGGGUAAAACCUAUGUAAUGUGUUAAAAUUGACUAGACAAAUUAAGGUUGAUAAGCUUAGAGAAAAAUAUCAGAUAGCAGAUUUCUGUACCUAGUUUGGUAUAUCUGAACCAGCUUCCACUUUUAAAAAGAAAGAAAAUAGAUAUUCCAAAAAAUGAUCAGCCUUAUAGAAAAAAGAGAUCUAGAUAUAGGUCUAAAGAAGAACAUGAAACUAGAAAAACCUAUAGAAAAUCUACAAGAUUUGCCAAAAACAUGUCUAAGCAAGAUCUUGCUAAGAUUAAAUGUUAUAGAUGCGGUAAUUUGGGGCAUAUUGCUCCAAAUUGUAAGAUCUAAAAGCUUAAAUCUUUAGGUCUUGCUGAUGAUGUGCAUGAUCAAGUUUAUGGUUUAUUAUACACCUUAGGUUCAGAAUUUGAUUAUAAUACUGAAUCUGAAACGGUAAAAUGAUAUUGAAUUACCUGAUUCAUCGGAUAAUGAUAAUGUUAAUAAUUGUUCCAAUUUCCAAGGUGAUACCUGCACUUGUGAUGACGCAUUUUAUAAUUUGCAAUCCCAGUUUGAAGAUUUAAAUGUUCAAACCAUUACUCUUAAAAAUGUGUUAGAACUAUAGAAAGAAGUUUCGGAGGAGAAACUACGUGAAAAGAUUAUUAAUUUGUAUACUAGUUCAAAAUCUAGUACUUCUAAACAUUCUGAUAGCAAUACCUUUACUCCUAAAAUUACUGAUAGCAAUAAUUUUAUGCCUUAUUCUUUAGCAAAAGUUAAUAGAUGAUAACUCUUGGCAAAGAUACUUCUUUUGAUGAUUUAAAAAUUGAAGUUGAAAACUUGAAAAAGGAUAUUAAAUCUCUUAAACAAAAUCAGAUGAUUUGUGAUCACAGAAUUUGCAAAUUGAGAAAGAUAUUUCUCACACUGAAAAUUCUAAAGGGAAAGAAAAGAUUUCUGAAGAAAAUGAUAAUACUGAUGAUAUUCAAAAUUCCCUUGACAUGAAAAAUAAUUAUUUUUUAGGUAUGAUGCAAAUUGUUACUGCCCAUAAAUGGUAUAUUAAAUCUACUAUUUUGAUUUAUAAUCAUUUCUCUUUAACUAAUAUUACUAUGAUUGAUAGCGGCGUAGAUAUUAGUUGCAUACAAGAAGAAUUAAUUCCCACAAGAUAUUUUCAAAAAACUACACAUAUAGUUAAAUCGGCAUCUGGACAUGCUCUUGAUAUAGAGUAUAAAUUGCCUAAUACUCAUACUUGCCAAAAUAAAGUGUGCAUUCCACAUUUUUUCUUUUUGGUAAAAAAUCAGUUAUACCCUCCAAUUAUACUAUGAACUCCUUUUAUAAAUGUUGUUUAUCCUAAUACUCAUAUUGAUGCAAAAGGAUUUUCUGCUACUAACAAGAAUAAAGAGAUAUCUUAUUCUUUUGAUACAGAUCCAGUAACUAGGGAUAUAAAUGCUUUAAUUGAUAUUAAGCAAAGACAUGUUAAUUUCUUACAACUUGAAUUACUUAGCAUAAAUAUUUUUGAUAUAAUGAAAUCUGCAAAGGUACAAGAAAAAAAUUAAAUUGAUUUCCGAACAAAUGGCUGUUGAUAUUUGUGCUGAUCACCCCAAUGCUUUUUUGAAUCGCAAAAGGUAUAUUGUUACUCUUCCUUAUGAUGAUAAUUUUUGUGAGGAUAAUAUCCCAACAAAAUCGCGACCUUAUCAAAUGAAUGCUGAAUUAGUUGAAUUCCACAAAAAAGAGAUUGAUCAUUUGUUACAAAAGAGUUUGAUAAAACCUUCAAAUUCUCUUUAGUCAUGUCCUGCUUUUUAUUUUAAUAACGCAACAGAAAAGGAACAUGGUAUUCCUAGGUUGGUAAUAAAUUACAAACCUCUGAAUAAAUAUUUAAAAUGGAUUAGGUAUCUUAUUCCAAAUAAAAAAGAUUUAUUAUCCCGAUUAUACGAUGCCAAUAUAUUUACUAAAUUUGAUGUAAAAUCUAUAUUUUGGUACAUAUAAAUUUUCAAAGAGCAUAUUUAUAGAACUUCUUUUAAUAUUCUUUUUGGGCAAUAUGAAUGGAAUGUUAUGCCCUUUGGUUUAAAAAAUGCCCCAUCAGAAUUUUAGAAAAUAAUGAAUGAUAUAUUUAAUCCUUAUAUGGAUUUCAUCAUUAUUUAUAUUUAUGGCAUUCUUGUUUUUUCUAAAAAAUUUGAAUUACAUAUGAAGCAUCUUGAUAUUUUUAAGAAAAUUGUGAUACAAAAUGAUUUGGUGAUAUCUAAAUAAAAAAUGAGUUUAUUUCAAAAAAAUGUUAGAUUCUUAGGACAUAAUAGUUGUCAAGGGAAGAUUACUCCCAUCCAAAGAUCCAUUGAUUUUGCUUCUAAAUUUUCUGAUGUUAUAACUGACAGGACUAAAUUGCAGAGAUUUUUGGGAAGUAUGAAUUAUAUUUCCUCCUUUUAUGAGAAUUUAUCUCGCGAUUUAGCCCUAUUAUACAAUAGGCUAAAAAAGAUUAUAAAUGCUCUUGGACCUAUAAUCUCACCAAUCUUGUUAAACGUAUUAAACAUCAUGUUGAAUCUUUACCCUGUUUAACUUUGCCAAUUCUGCUUGGCAAAAAAUUAUUGAGACUGAUGCGUCAAAUAUUGGUUACGGAGGAAUACUGAAACAAGUUAAUCCCCAUGAUAAAACUGAUUGCUUAAUAAGAUUUCAUUCAGGUAAAUGGACAGAUAGUCAGAAAAAAUUUGCUACGGUAGCUCAUGAAAUUCUAACCAUUAGUUUUCAUAUCUAUGCUGGAGAUUUUUUCUGACUAUCAAUCCAUUUACCUUAAUGAAAUCUUAUUAAGCAUUUAGUUUUAUCAUGGGGAUUAACUUGUUUCAGUAUUCCUCCAUAACCAAUAUUCGACUCAUCAGUCUCAAUAAUAUUUUGCCAAGCAGGAUUGACUAAAGUUAAAUAGAGUAAAGAUUCAACAUGAUGUUUAAUACGUUUAACAAGAUUGGUGAAUUUAUUGGUCCAAGAGCCUUUAUAAUCUUUUUUUAGCCUAUCGUAUAUGGGGUUAAAUCGCGAGAUAAAUUCUCAUAAAACGAGAAAAUAUAAUUCAGGCUUCCCAAAAAAUCUCUGUAAUUGAGUCCUGUCAGUUAUAACAUCAGGAAAUUUAGAAGCAAAAUCAAUGGAUCUUUGGAUGGGAGUAAUCUUCCAUUGACAGAUAUUAUGUCUUAAGAAUCUAAUAUUUGUUUGAAAUAAACUUAUUUUUGGUUUAGUUAUCACCAAAUUAUUUUGUAUAACAAUUUUCUUAAAAAUAUCAAGAUGCUUGAUAUGUAAUUCAAAUGUUUUAGAAAACACAAGAAUGUCAUCAAUAUAAAUGAUGAUGAAAUCCAUAUAAGGAUUAAAUAUAUCAUUCAUUAUUUUCUAAAAUUCUGAUGGGGUAUUUUUUAAAUCAAAAGGCAUGGCAUUUCAUUCAUAUUGCCCAAAAGAAACAUUAAAAGUAGUUCUAUAAGUACGCUCUUUGAAAAUUUGAAUUAUCCAAUAUCCAGAUUUUAAAUCAAAUUUAGUAAAUAUAUUGGAAUCAUAUAACCGGGAUAAUAAAUCUUUUUUAUUUGGAAUAGGAUACCUAAUCCAUUUUAAAUAUUUAUUCAGAAGUUUGUAAUUUAUUACCAACCUGGGAAUACCACGUUCCUUUUCUGUUGCGUUAUUAACAUAAAAAGUAGGACAUGACUAAAGAGAUUUUGAAGGUUUUAUCAAACCCUUUUGUAAUAGAUUAUCAAUCUCUUUUUUGCAGAAUUCAACUAAUUCAGCAUUCAUUUGAUAAGGUCGCGAUUUUGUUGGGAUAUUAUCCUCACAGAAAUUAUCAUCAUAAGGAAGAUUAACAAUAUGCCUUUUGUGAUUCAAAAAAGUACUGGGGUGAUCAACACAAAUAUCAACAACCAUUUGUUCGGAAAUCAAUUUAAUUUUUUCUUGUACCUUUGCAGAUUUCAUUGUAUCAAAAAUAUUUAUGCUAAGUAAUUCAAGCUGUAAGAAAUUAACAUGUCUUUGGUUGAUAUCAAUUAAAGCAUUUAUAUCCCUAGUAACCAGAUCUGUAACAAAAGAAUAAGAUAUCUCUUUAUUCUUAUAAGUAGCAGUAAAUCAUUUUCCAUCAAUAUGAGUAUAAAGAUAAAUAGCAUUUAUAAAAGGAGUUUCAAGUAUAAUUGGAGGGUAUAACUGAUUUUUUACCCAAAAAAAAUGUGGAAUGCACACUUUAUUUUGACAAAUAUGAGUAUUAGGCAAUUUAUACUCUAUAUCAAGAGCAUGUCUAGAUACAGAUUUGACUAUAUGAGUAGUUUUUUGAAAAUAUCUUGUGGGAAUUAAUUCUUCUUGUAUGCAACUAACAUCUGUACCACUAUCAAUCAUAGCAAUAUUAGUUACAGAGAAAUGAUUAUUAAUCAAAAUAGUACAUUUAAUAUACCAUUUAUGGGAAGUAACAAUUUGCAUCAUACCUAAAAAAUAAUCAUUUUUCAAGUCAAGGGAAUUUUGAAUAUCAUCAAUAUUAUCAUUUUCUUCAGAAAUCUUUUCUUUCCCUUUACUGCUACGACGAUGACAACAACAACAACAACAACAACAACAACAACAAGAACUAUAAUAAGAAUAAUAACAAUAAUGAUAAUAAUAAUAAUAAUAAUAAUAAAAAAAAAUAAUAAUAAUAAUAAUAAUAAUAAGAAGAAGAAGAAGAAGAAGAAGAAGAAGAAGAAGAACAAUAAUAAGAACAAGAACCAGGACAAGAACAAUAGAAACCAACUUUGGUAGGUCUAAAGUUAUUACGAGAAGACCUAUUAAAUGGGAUGAAAUUGAUUUUCCCAAAGAAUGGAUUCUUGAGGAUGCAGCUCCUCCUCAGAAUAAUCCCAAUAGUGAGAUCACAGAGGUAGAACAAACCGUUGAUGGUACUGUUAAGAUCAAACUUUCUGAUUCUUUGACUCUAUUGAAUAGAGCUAAUAAUUUGAGUAUUGCAUCAGCAUCAAGAUUAAUCAGAUCAACAUCUUCAUAUAGUUCUCCUAGUGAUUAUAUUGUCAAUUCUACAUCUAGAGCCUCUACUUCUCAAAUUAGAGAAAGUUCUAGAAUGAACAAUAUUAGAAUUGAUAGAGAUAAUAUUGCUAAUAUUGUUCCUGCUAUGGAUCCUACUGAGUUCGAAAUGAAUUUUUCCACAAGUUUAAAAUGAAUCAAAUUAAAAUUGAUUUUAGCCUGGGAUCACCGGCAAGAAAAAGAUCUCAGAUGAGUUCUUUAAGCCUAGAUGGGAACUAUUUAGAAAAUGUUUUUUUCAAAGCUUUAGUAAAGAAGAAAAAAUUAUUUUUCAGGAAGAAUUUUAUAAAGAUCUUUCUAUUUAUAAUAUAAUGAUUGUUUUUGUACCUUGGUUUAUGGACAAAUAUGUGGAUGAUUAUAUUUUCAUGCUUACAAAAGACUUUAAAUUAAGUACUGGUGAAAUUACCACAUCAGUCUUUCCCCCUCCCCCUAACAAUCUUUUCAAAUUGAAAAGAUAACAAAGUAGUAUAUUUUACUGAUUUUGGUAAAUUGCUUGAGAAUGAUACUGCUCUUAUUACUUUUCAGCAUGCCAAUAUGAUACUAAAACAACAUAAUUAUGCUAAUAUUUAUAUGAGCAUAUUUGGAGAACAAAUUAUUUCUCUACAUGAUAGAGUUGAUAAAAUUUUAUCUUAAUUAAAGAAAAUAGAGCUUAGUAAUACUAAGCAAAAAGAUCAAAAAGAUCAAGUUGUUAUUGCUACUGCUAGUAUUCAGCCUCCUCCUGAUAUUAGGGAUUUCAAGCUAAGCAUCAACUUAGAUGAUAUGCAAAAAUUGUUAGAAAAAAAAUUUAGUGGAUUGAAAAUUAAUCCUAUCCACAAUGAGAGAAAAACAGAGGACCAAUCAGGUUCUAGUGAGGUUAAUAAAAUCUCAAAAAAAAUUGCGAGGAAACCAAUCCCAAGGAUGUUUUAUUAUCCUAGACCAACUCCCCGAGAUGUGCUAUUAGAAGAGCAAGAAUUGCUCAUUCCUAAUAGUUUUAGGGGAAACAAAAUCUACGAAUGGAACAUAGAUGGUUUCACUGAUAGACAAAUUUCUACUGUAGUACAUAGAAUGUUGAUGUAUAGUAUGAUUUACAAGGGCCAUAAGGAUAAUAAUGAUAAAACCAUUACAGAAAUGAUUACUGCAGGAUUCACUGGUCAGCUAAAAGGCUAGUGGGAUAAUUAUCUCACUUUAGACCAAUGCACAAAAAUUUUGCAUGCAGUUAAGAUGAAAGGGGGUCAACCUGUUAUAAAUGUGGUUUACACCUUGGUUCUUAAUAUUAUAGAGAAUUUUUUCUGGAAGAUGGUCUGGUAAUAGUGAGACUAUCAGAUCUAUGCUCUAAAAUCUGAAAUGUAAGACUCCCACAUCGUUUAGAUGGUAUAAGGAUAUAUUCCUGUCAAGAAUCAUGGAAUUACCAGAGAGUAAUAGCUCUCACUAGAAGUCCAAAUUUAUAGAUGGUCUUCCAAUGUUAUUUGCGGAAAGAAUUUGAAAGGCUCUUAGAGGACCUUCCUUAAAUAUUAACUAUGAUGAGUACACUUAUGAAAAUUUGAUCAACGUUUGUACUCAAGAAUGUCUAUCCUUAUGUAAUGAGAUAAAGAUGAAUCAACAAGUUAAGAAGUAUCGUUUUAAUGAGAGACAACAAUUAAGAGAAUUUUGUGAGCAAUUCUCCAUAAACAUUCCUAAGACUUCUAAAGAGCCUUGUAGGCAUAAGAAGAAAAAAUUCUCUGAGGAUAGACAGGUUAAGAAAAUUAAGAAAAAAUAUAGAAGGAAAAAGAAUUAUAUAUCUAGAAAGGAUUAUAGGAAAUCUAAGAAUACUAAUGCUUGCUACAGAUAUGGUAGAGUAGGUCACUUUGCGAAAGAUUGCAAAAUAAAGGAAAAAAUUAAGAGUCUCAUAUUAGAUGAUGAAAUUAAAGACUCUUGGUGCAAAAUAUUUCUCAAUUCCUCUCCGAAAAAUUCGAAUCUGAACUACAGCGAUAAUGAGGAAUAUCAUUCAUCUACGGAUGAAAACCUUUGAGUCCUUCAUAAUAAAGAUUAUAUGUUUUCAGAAGAUGAAUGUCUUCAGAAGACGAAUGUCUUCAGAAGACGAAUAUCUUCCAUGUCAACAAGGAAAACCUUUUAGUAACAAGAAAGUAGAAGAUGUUUUUUAUAACAUCUACUCUCAAUUCCAAGAUUUGGAAAUCAAUAUUUUAAAGGAAUACAGAUUAGCAACUCUUUUAGAAAUGCUAAAGAAUUUGAACCAUGAGGGAGAUCAACCCUCUACUAGUUAUUCUAAAGAAUAGGAGGAAAUUUCCUCCCAAGAGGGUCCAUAUACUAUGACAAAAGUCUGCAAACUUCUCAGAGAGAGACAAAAAGUGGUUGAGGUCUCGGCAACAACCCAAGAUCUAUAGGGUGAGAUUAAUAAUCUUAAGAAAUAAAUAUCUUUCCUUAAAAAUCAUAAUAUGGGUUUGGACAAAAGAGUUUCUGUAUUAGAAAACCAAGUGUCAGACAUACAGAAGUAAGUCAUAAUCCUACCUUAUCUGAUGAAGGAUUUCUUCAAACUUUAGAAGUUGUUACCCAACAAUAUUUUUAUGCUAAAGCAACUCUUUUAAUUGAUUACAAUUAUAAAAAAAAAAAAUUUACAACUCUCAUUGAUAGUGGGGCAGGUUGUAAUUACAUUCAAAAAGGUCUAUUACCUUCAAAAUAUUUUGUAAAAACUACUCAUGUUUUAAGAAAUGCCAGUGGUCAUAAGAUGGGGGUAGAAUAUUAAAUCCCCAAGGCAUAUAUUUAUCAAGAUAAAAUCUGCAUGUCAGAGUUUUUCGUACUGGUAAAGAAUAUCAGCGACGAGAUCAUUCUGGGAAAAUCAUGGUUUGUCCAUCUAUAUCCCAUUAUUAGGUGGGGUGAAAAUAGGCUAAAAGAUACCUUUGAUAAUAUGGAAAUCAAGUUUGAAUGGUGUGAACCACCUUAUAACAGAUAUAUAAACCUGAUAAAGGAAAAAAUACUUUCCAAAAAUAGACAAAUGGAAUUUUUACAAAAUUAAAUUUGUAGUUUGUCAAUAGAACAAACUUUACAAAACCUUAAACUAACAGAAAAAAUAGAUUUUCUAAAAAAAUAGUUUUCUUUAGAAAUAUGUGGAGAUCAUCCAAAUACUUUUUGGCAAAGGAAAAAAUAUGUGGUUAGUCUUCCAUAUGAAGACAGUUUUCAAGAGGAUAAUAUCUCCACUAAGGAAAGACCUUGUCAAAUGGAUUUUGAAUAUUUAAAAUUCUGUAAGAAAAUUGAUUCUCUUUUGCAUAAAGGUCUCAUACGACCUUCUAAAUCUCCAUGGUCAUGUACUGCAUUCUAUGUUAAUAAACAUGAUGAGUAGGAAAGAGGGAUACCAAGAUUGGUUAUUAAUUAUAAAUCUCUCAACAAAGUCCUCAGAUGGAUCAAGUAUUCAAUUCCUAAUAAAAAGAACUUAUUAGACAUAUUAUAUGAUGCUCAAAUAUUUUCUAAAUUUGACUUGAAAUCAGGUUACUGGCAAAUCCAAAUAUUGGAGGCAGAUAAAUAUAAGACUGCUUUUAAUGUUCCAACAGGAUAAUUUGAAUGCAAUGUCAUGCCGUUUGGAUUAAAGCAUGCUCCUGCAAGAUUCUAGAAUAUUAUGAAUGAUAUAUUCAUGCCCUAUAGAAACUUCAUGAUUGUUUACAUUGAUGACAUCUUGGUAUUCUCAAAAAAUAUAGAGACACACUUUAAACAUUUGGAUCUUUUCAAAAAGAUCAUCAUACAAUGGUUUAGUUAUAUCUAAACCAAAGAUGUUUCUCUUUUAGACGAAAGUCAGAUUUUUAGGUCAUAAUAUUGACCAAGGGAAAAUUUUUCAUAUUAAUAGAAGCAUAGAAUUUGCUUCUGAAUUCCUAGAUAUUAUAACAGACAAAACUCAAUUACAGAGAUUUCUGGGUAGUCUGAAUUAUAUAUCUCCUUUUAUAAAGGAUCUUGCUAAAAAUACUACUAUCUUAUAUGAUAGAUUAAAGAAAAGUCCAAAUACAUGGACAGAGAGUCAUACUCUCACAGUAAAAAAAUUAAGGCAAAGGUUAAUAACCUACUGUGUUUUACUCUAGCCAAUCCAAAUUGGGAUAAAAUUAUUGAGACUGAUACUUUUGAUAUUGGCUAUGGAGGAAUUUUAAAACAAUACUCCCCACAAGAUAAGAAAGCCUAUUUCAUCCAAUUUUAUUCUGGAAAAUGAAAUACUAACCGAAAGAAUUAUGCAACUAUUGCUAAGAAAAUCCUUGCAAUAGUUAAAUGUAUUUUAAAAUUUCAAGGUGAUUUAUAUAACCAAAAGUUUUUAAUAAAAUUGAUUGUCGGGCUGCUAAGUUUAUCUUUAAUAAAGAUUAUAAACACAAUAUGUCCAAAGAAAUGUUUGCAAGAUGUCAAGCUUUAUUAGUUUUAUUUGUUUUUGAAAUUCAAUAUUUAAAGGGAUCAGAUAAUAGUUUUCCCAAUUUUCUCACUAGGAAAUAUCUAACCUAAUGUCUUCCAUGUUGUACAGGAUGAAAUCUCAGGGAUCAACCUCCUCUAAUAAAGGCAGGGGAAGAAAAAAAUCAAACAGAGGCAGCGAAAAUAUCCUUGCCCAAAUAGGAAAUCAAAGGCUAAUAGCUGUGAAUAUUGCAAGUUAAUCUGAUCCUAAUACGGAUCAACAAAUAUACAAGGACUUCUUGAAAUUUAUAAAAUCCAAGAAAGGAGAGAAUGUUGUCCCCUCACACUCCAGUGCUCUUACUAAUAAUGAUAAUGAGAAUAUUGAGAUCUACGAACAAAAUGAAGCAGAUGAAGUUAUACUCAUCUUGAAAAACAGUGAUCUUGAUGGAGAAAUGAUCCAUGGCAGCUUAUGCAAAGGUAUCUGGAUAAUACAUCCUAUGCCACUAUGACAUACAAAUAUCAUAUGCAUUUUGAAAUAAUACUAUCUCAAACAGGAUCAGCCAAAAUUUAGCAUUUUUACACGGCCGCCAAUAUCAAGAAAGACUACAGCUUUUCUAAAAUCAUCAUAAAAAAGAUUUUUACUCCAAGAGAGUGGCAUUAAUCACUCUUAAAGAAAAGAAUUACAUACAUCCAGAGCAGAAAGCUUCAGUUAAAUUCAAUUACUGGGAUUAUGUUGAAAGCUUUCAUGAAGCUUUGUUAUACGAAAAUCCUAAUAGGAAGCAUUCGUGGAUUAUAAAGAUUUGUGGAAAUAUCUACAAACAAAGCAUCAUAAAUUAGUUUACACAGUGGUGGAUCUAUUAUGGUCCUUCGGCAAAAAUAUUGGCACAACCCUUCAAAAGAUUACAUUCUGAUUGGAUAGAAGUAUCUCUGAUGCUUCUUAAAUUACAAAGAGACAAUAUCUACUUUACAGGGAUAUCGACAAUGUAUUUCUUUAUUGAAUUUUCUAUCCCAUGGAUUAUGAAAUGGUCCGUGGAGGUAAAACCUAAUAUUGAAAAUUUCCAGUGUUUGAAGGAAAUUUUUUAUACAAAAUUCUGGAAUAAACUUAAUAAAAAAACAGCUAACAACUUAAUAAUUCAAUAAAAACUGCCAUCACCUAAUAUAGAGAACAGAGGGAUAUGGCUCCACUACAUGAACAGGAUGAACUCAUCCCAUUCAAGACCAUUGCCAAGAAGCUUCAAAUGAAGAAAGUCAUAGUAUCAAGGUCCGAAAUGAUCCUCGUAUAUGAAGGAAGUCAAAAGAGACCUAAUGAGAAAUUUAGACAGGAAAAAUGUAUCGAAUAUAUCCAUGACAUCUGUAGGUCAUACCACAGAUAAUGAAGAAGACUGUCUAGCUGGGGAAUCUCAGAGCAUACAGAGUAAUUUGAAAAAAUUUACCGCUACAUUAGAAGAAUCUUUCAGCUCCGCAAAAAAUAAAGAAAAAUAGAAGAUAUGACAUAAUUAAAGACCCCACAAACUAUAUUAUUGGGGAAAAUACUAGCUGGACGAUAGCUUUUAUGAAGCAUGAACAGUAAAGGCCACUUUCUUUUAUAAAGUAAAGGUCAUUUGUGUAAUAGUAAAGGUCAAUGUGUAAUAGUAAAGGUCAAUUAGGAAUAGUAAAGGCCAUUUUUAUUUUUGUGUUUUGCUUUGAGUAUCUGCUAUAUAAGGAUCUCAUUCUUUUCAUUUGAAGGAUAGGUUUUAGAAAAUCACCUCUCUCUACUACUCUCAAAAGCUCUCUUCUUGUAAUAUAAAUAUCUUGGAAUAAAAGUCUUUAGUUCUGAUCACACUCAUCCAUGUUAAGGACUCAUCCGUGUUAAGGUAUUUUAAAUUUUUAUUGUUAAUUUUAUUUUAUUUUCUUAAUACUAGCCUAAUGAUAGGAUAAAUCACUCGUGUUGAACUAUAACAUACUAAGCUAUUAGUAUAGUAUGGCAUAAGUUAUUCAAAUAAGAAUCAAGUCAUCCAAUGAUAUUAAGGUCGCAAUAAAUAGACUUGCAGUAAUAGUUUUGAUUCAGGCUUCAUGCCGGAAGUCCAUUUGAAAGGCUUGUUAGUUAGGAGGGAAUUAAAGGUUGUGUUUUUUGGACCCGUUUUAUAAUGAUGAUGAUGAUGAUGAUAAUAAUAAUAAUAAUAAUAAUAAUAAUAAUAAUAAUAAUAAUAAUAAUAAUCCAGAUUAACAAGAUUUAAGGGUUGGCGAUAAUCCGUGUGGCCAUCGAGACCUAUACUUUUGGAAGAACCGAAAUAUACGAGAAUUUCUUAUAGCUUAUUAACUGUAUGGAAGUAUUAAUCCUUUACCCAAGCAAAAGGCAUGUCAGAAUUUAAUACAUACUUAAGUUGAGCUCAUGUGUGCAGCGAUUCUAUCAAAUAUUUUUGGAGUAUCUUCCAUGGUUCAUUUCUCCUUUGAAUCUCAGAGUUUUCAACAAGAAAUAUCAUUCUUUGUUUUCUAGUUGCUCAUAGGACUUGAUAUCAUCAUUGUCCUUGCCUUUAGCAAUUGAAGAAAAUGUAUCACGUUGCUUUUGGGCAGCUAAAUAUGCCUGCAAUUGCCCGAAUAACGGACUGUCUUCUGGGAUAUCUUCUAAAUGAAUUGAAGGAGAUGACAUCUCCUAUUUCCAUGAGUAGAGAAUACCAGAUUGACAAGAUCUGAGGAUUAGCGGUAAUCCGCGCGGCCAUCCAGACCUAUACUAUCGGGAGAACCAAAAUAUACAAGAAUUUCUUACAUCUUAUUGACUGUAUGAAAGUAUUCAUAUUUUACCCGAGCAAAUGGCUGUCAGAAUUUAAUACAUACUUAAGUUGAGCCCAUGUGAUUAUGCCUAAUUUAGAAUUGGAAAAAAUACAUAAAGUAGCAUAUUUAAGUAUUAAAUUACAAAAAGUAACAACAAUUUUAUUAAAUUAUAUUUUGUAGCAUAUGUAUUUGUAUGUAUUUGUAUUUUUGUAGCAACAGUUUGCAAAAAUACAAAAUACAUAUCGAUCAUAAUGGCAGUAAAAAUCAUAUGUAUUUGUAUUUAUAUAGCAACAGUUUACAAAAAUACAAAAUACAACUUGCUAUAUUAUGUAAUUAUGAAACUAUUGUUAUGAAAUUCAUAAUUAAGCAGAUAAGUAUGGUAUUUCUGAAUUUUGCCCUUUAGAAUUUAUCAACCAAACAAAUAAAGAUUCUAAUUAAAUGUUAAAAUUAUACUUAACAUAAAAAUUUUAAGUACCAACAUUGGGUCAUGUGUAGCACGGCGUAACCAACUAAUUUUUGUACAAUUAUCCCAUCCCCCAAAAAUAAAAUUAGUCUCAAGUUCAUGAUAGCCAAAACAUGAAAGGAAACGUGACUUCUACAAGCCUCUAACAAACGAAAUGCAUUUUAACACUAAUUUUAUUACAGCCAAGUAGCUUAAACCAAACAAUUGGUGCAUAGAUUUCUCGAAAACACACAAACUAAUAACUAAGAAUGAAAGCCAGUUCAACUCUUCGAUAGUUUUGAAUAAAAUAGAUAUAGCUAAGUCAUAUACCAAAGGUACCGUACAAUGCACAAAAUAUGCAAGUAUCAAACGACAUACCCAUCUCACAAUUGAGGACUUCCGAACCAAAUUAAAAAUAGCUAAAUCGUAAUACAUGCCCACAAAAUAAUCCUCACGUCUACUAAAUUUAAAUUAUACUGAAGACAUUUUCCUCAAACAUAAAUAAGAGAAGAUUCAAGAAUAUUCAAGACAUUCACAUGAAAACAUUUUAGAACCAUAGCUCACAUGUAUGCAUUCGCCAACCAGAGCAUAUCAUAAGUCUUAAGAAAAAAAAGGACAAAAGGUCCAUUUAGAUGAAAUUUCAAAAAAGAGGUGGCAUACUAUUUUCAACCUAGACAGAAAGCAACAUAUCUUUUGAUUAAAGAGAGAGAGAGAGAAAGCUUAACAUGUAUAUCGAUGAAUAAGUAGUGAGCAAAUUUAUCUAUCCUACUCUACGACAUUUAGAAUGCCACAACAUCAUGACAUACAUACUUAUACUUACAUUUUACACUCAAACAAGAUAACAUUUCAGAUUUAGGGCCCGUUUGGGAUUGCAGUAACAAAACUACUUAUUUGAGAAGCACUUUUAUAAAAUGACUUUUCAAAAAAAUAUUUUUUAAAAAAAGCAGUUUGUGUUUGGUAAAUUCAGUGCUUUAGAGAAUCUAAUUAUGUUUGGAUAAUCUUUUUCAAGAAAUGAUUUUUUGAGACAAAUGACCAAAAAGGACAUCUAUCAAUAGAUUUUUAUUACUAAAAUCAAUUUAUAGAGAAAAAUUAUUUUAAAUAUGUAUUAUAAUAUUUUUAAUUAAAUUAUUUUAUUUAAUUAAAAAGUACGUACUCUAGAAUUUUCAAUCAAUAUUUAUAUACAUAAAUACAUUAAAAAAAAUUAAAUGGUGAUAUAUUACUUAAAUAAUUUAAAUAUUACUUAAAACAUCUAACAAAAAUGAAUAUAAAAGUUAUUUCAUAAAUUAAAUCACUACAUAUGAAAAAAAUUAACGACAAAAAUAAUUGGCAAAAUCAUCUAUUUAGACGGACAAAAUCACAAUUACUUUCAUGGUUAUAAUAACCUUUCACACGUGAGACACUCUAAAUUUUAUAAAUAUAAAACCUAAACACUCAACUCGAACAUGAUAAAUUAACAAGCAAUCCAAGGCAUCUGUUUACGCAUACAGAUAACAAAUUCCAUCAAAGAAUCUUGAAUCAUUACUUUCUUUUUAAAAUAUCUUAAGGUCUUUUUGUACCAUGCUCAAGCAUAUAUUCUGCUGCAUCUAAAACAUAUAAGAACCAUAUAACAAGCUAAUACCAUAUCUGAUUACGCACUAAAAUGAGAAUCACAUUUUUUGAUUAAGAUGAUAAAGCAAAGGAGAAUUACGGACCUAUUUUGGAGCAAUAAACUAGGGAUUCCUCAUUGGAGAUUCAAACUCAAACUCGAAUUUCAACUACGGAAAGGGAGCAAGAGAAAUGAGAGGAAAUAGUAGAACGAAUUUGCUGAUUUUUUUUGCUAAUUUUCUAAUUGUUGAUUCUUGGUGAUCCUUGACUCUUGCUUGAUUUUUUCGGCUGACCAAAAAUGGGAGCUCAAGGGCUCCUUUUAUAGCCAAAUUUGAUGGGUUGCCAAGUAAAGCCUCAAGAAUUCAAAAUUUGAAUUCUUGAGAAUCUCAACUGCCGGAAAAUAAAAAUAAAGGCUGAAUUUUACUCUUUUUCAAAUUGAGGUGAAGGGGAAAUGAUAGUUUCGGAGAUACAAGUUCGGACCCAUCAUAUUAAAGGGAUUACAACCUCAAAUCCGAUGGUUCUUCACUAUCUUUAUCUUUUUAGAAAUGGCAGAGAAGAUAAAGUGCUUUACGAUAUGGUGAAGGGAUAUAAUGCUGAUGAAAACUUUGGCAUUGAUGGAUGUGGGAGGAAAAGGGAAGGGGGAGGUUAAGGGCCAUCAGAAUUGCUAUUAUCCAAUGGUACGAGGGGAAAUCGGCAUUGCAGAGAUGAAAGAGAAGCUGAAAUAAUGUUUCUAAUUGCAGUCUAGUUAGAAACGAAUGGGAGAUUGAGAGAGCAGAAAAAUGAAGGGUUUAAUUAGCUUUUGGGUCGAGUCAGAGUGUUUGG